GGUGUACCAGUUGUCGUGCCAACGGCAUAGCUGGGUAGCUAUGUGUGGACGGGAUAAGUGCUGAAAGCAUCUAAGCAUGAAGCCCCCCUCAAGAUGAGAUUUCCCAACUUCGGUUAUAAGAUCCCUCAAAGAUGAUGAGGUUAAUAGGUUCGAGGUGGAAGCAUGGUGACAUGUGGAGCUGACGAAUACUAAUCGAUCGAAGACUUAAUCAAAA
This 214-nucleotide ribosomal RNA is filed under the name Staphylococcus aureus. Its description in RNAcentral is "partial 23S ribosomal RNA". It matches the Rfam family "Bacterial large subunit ribosomal RNA", at positions 2711 to 2925 of the family's 2925-position model. Lineage: Bacteria; Bacillati; Bacillota; Bacilli; Caryophanales; Staphylococcaceae. The record is from RNAcentral.